CGAAGUAUAGCAUAUACAAUGCUUUUUACUUACAUUAAAAAAAUAGUCAAAGACUUGCUUCGC
RNAcentral lists this transfer RNA (63 nucleotides) under Metaphire hilgendorfi. RNAcentral's name for it is "tRNA-Val". The record is from RNAcentral. Lineage: Eukaryota; Metazoa; Annelida; Clitellata; Crassiclitellata; Megascolecidae.